GGCCAAGAGACGGGACGAGGCGGAGGCGCGGGGGGUGUCCUGGUGUCAGAGAAGGAGGCUCUGCUCUUGGGCGUCAUGUCGGCUUUCCUGCACGUUCAUCCGUUUGGGGCCAACCUGGAAUACUUGUGCUCCUACGUGCACACGCUGGACUCCCAGGUGUCGUCGCGGCAGCUGGAGCGCCUGAUGGCCCGCCUCCCCCUCAUGUUCCGGCAGGAGCUGAGCGGCGUGGGCGCCACGCUGGAGAAGCGCUGGAAGUUCUGCGGCUUCGACAGCCUGCGCUCCGGAUGAGCCCUCCAUUAAAGGGCCCCGCCGGC
Molecule: long non-coding RNA, 314 nt
Organism: Hippocampus comes (tiger tail seahorse)
Lineage: Eukaryota; Metazoa; Chordata; Actinopteri; Syngnathiformes; Syngnathidae
Exons: 3
Source: RefSeq, a predicted model, not a curated record